GACGAACGCUGGCGGCGUGCUUAACACAUGCAAGUCGAGCGGUAAGGCCCUUUCGGGGGUACACGAGCGGCGAACGGGUGAGUAACACGUGGGUGACCUGCCCUCAGCUCUGGGAUAAGCCUGGGAAACCGGGUCUAAUACCGGAUAUGACUCCAUGACGCAUGUUGUGGGGUGGAAAGCCUUGUGCGGCUGAGGAUGGGCCCGCGGCCUAUCAGCUUGUUGGUGGGGUGANGGCCUACCAAGGCGACGACGGGUAGCCGGCCUGAGAGGGCGACCGGCCACACUGGGACUGAGACACGGCCCAGGCUCCUACGGGAGGCAGCAGUGGGGAAUCUUGCGCAAUGGGCGAAAGCCUGACGCAGCGACGCCGCGUGAGGGAUGACGGCCU
This 388-nucleotide ribosomal RNA is filed under the name uncultured bacterium. RNAcentral describes it as "bacterial SSU rRNA". It matches the Rfam family "Bacterial small subunit ribosomal RNA", at positions 28 to 417 of the family's 1533-position model. The record is from RNAcentral.